Molecule: long non-coding RNA, 789 nt
Organism: Chlorocebus sabaeus (green monkey)
Lineage: Eukaryota; Metazoa; Chordata; Mammalia; Primates; Cercopithecidae
Source: RefSeq, a predicted model, not a curated record
AAGCUUCAAAAACCCUUGGAAUUUCCUGAGUGCUGGUGCUUUUGUUCUGCUAAUGAGGUGAUUCACAUUGCACUCCCGGGAGCCAGGGGAGGGCAGAGACCGAGCUCAAUCAUGUGGCCAAUGAUUUAAUCAAUCAUGCCUACAGAAUGAGACUUCAAUGAAAUCUUUGGUCACCAAAGGUCAGUGCAGCCUCCCGACUGGUGUACAGACUGAUGUGCCGGGAGAGUGGGGUGCCCUGACAUUAAGGGGAAGGGUUGUAGAAGCUCUGCUUUCCCUUUUAGGCUUUGCUUUAUGUGUUUCUUUUACAAUAAAACUGUCAUGGUAAGCACAGGACUUUUUUCUGAGUUCUGUGAGUCCUUCUAGUGAAUUAUCAAACCUGAGGUGGGGACAUGGGAACCUCCUGGAACAGCAACCAGCUGGACAGAAAUAUUUUUGUGGUCUCAUGACAGGACAUUAGCAAUCUGGCUUUAACGUUUUUUCGUGGUCAGAAUGCUUUUAUCCUUCUCUACAACAACUUACCUUUUAACCUGGCAUCACCCCCAAAGGCACCACAGCCCCAGUUUCCUGUGGCCACUGCAGAAAGAUUCUCUGAAGAAAUUCCAGGACGGAGAAAUCCACAGUAAGCCUGCAGGAUAAAAGAAAUAUCAAAGCCUGGGCCAAAAUAGAGGGAAAAACAGAGAAGGAAGAAGGGAGAGAAAAACCUGGGAUUAUGCAAGGAAGAGACUAAGAAAUGAUAAAUUCUAAUAUUUAUUUGUUUGAAUGCUAAGCAAAUAAAAUCCCUUAAACUAA